UUCCUUUGAUGACACUCGCAAACGUCUUACGCCUUGUGUAAAUGCCAGAACCUGAAAAGGUGGACCCACUGGCAUUUCCCUGGCAACAAGGUGAAGAACUGUUGGGGCUACCAACAGUCUGAAUGGAAA
This 129-nucleotide small nucleolar RNA is filed under the name Sparus aurata (gilthead seabream). RNAcentral's name for it is "Small nucleolar RNA SNORD22 (ENSSAUG00010001390.1)". It matches the Rfam family "Small nucleolar RNA SNORD22". Rfam says of the family: U22 is a member of the C/D class of snoRNA which contain the C (UGAUGA) and D (CUGA) box motifs. Lineage: Eukaryota; Metazoa; Chordata; Actinopteri; Spariformes; Sparidae. The record is from Rfam by way of RNAcentral.